This 745-nucleotide ribosomal RNA is filed under the name uncultured bacterium. Its description in RNAcentral is "bacterial SSU rRNA". It matches the Rfam family "Bacterial small subunit ribosomal RNA", at positions 8 to 796 of the family's 1533-position model. The record is from RNAcentral.
AGAGUUUGAUCCUGGCUCAGAACGAACGCUGGCGGCAGGCUUAACACAUGCAAGUCGAACGCAUCUCUUCGGAGGUGAGUGGCAGACGGGUGAGUAACGCGUGGGAACGUACCCUUUGGUUCGGAAUAACCCAGGGAAACUUGGGCUAAUACCGGAUGCGCCGGAAACGGGAAAGGUUUACCGCCGAAGGAUCGGCCCGCGUCGGAUUAGCUAGUUGGUGGGGUAACGGCCUACCAAGGCGACGAUCCGUAGCUGGUCUGAGAGGAUGAUCAGCCACACUGGGACUGAGACACGGCCCAGACUCCUACGGGAGGCAGCAGUGGGGAAUAUUGGUCAAUGGGCGCAAGCCUGAACCAGCCAUGCCGCGUGAGUGAAGAAGGCCUUAGGGUUGUAAAGCUCUUUCAGCGGGGACGAUAAUGACGGUACCCGCAGAAGAAGCCCCGGCUAACUUCGUGCCAGCAGCCGCGGUAAUACGAAGGGGGCUAGCGUUGUUCGGAAUUACUGGGCGUAAAGCGCGCGUAGGCGGGCAUUUAAGUCAGGGGUGAAAUCCCAGGGCUCAACCCUGGAACUGCCUUUUGAUACUGGAUGUCUGGAGUUCGGGAGAGGUGAGUGGAAUUCCGAGUGUAGAGGUGAAAUUCGUAGAUAUUCGGAGGAACACCAGAAGCGAAGGCGGCUCACUGGCCCGAUACUGACGCUGAGGCGCGAAAGCGUGGGGAGCAAACAGGAUUAGAUACCCUAGUAGUCC